Mastomys coucha (southern multimammate mouse) is the source of this 740-nucleotide long non-coding RNA. RefSeq lists it as uncharacterized. The record is from RefSeq and is a predicted model, not a curated record. Lineage: Eukaryota; Metazoa; Chordata; Mammalia; Rodentia; Muridae. The transcript has 2 exons.
GACAGCGGCCGGCGCUCACCGCGCACCCUGCGACCUCGCCGACGCCAUCUUGCCGGAGCGCGCCGCAUUCACGCCGGCCCCUCCGGCGGCCGGGCGAGCGUUACCAUGGCAACAGGCGCGCGCGGCCCACGGGGACGCGCCCCAUUCGCCGCGCCUAGAGUGAGGCUGCGCCCCCCACCCCAACUCGCACACCCCGGCGGCGGCGGCCCGGAGGCUAAGCGGGUGCGGCUCCUGAAAUCCCGGGAUUUUUCUUGAAUGGGAUGAGAGAGCCGGGCGGAGGAUGCUCGGGCUCGAGGGCAGCCGAGGUCUCCUGAGGAGCAGGGUUCGUCUGAGGAUAGGGGCUCCUGCUGGCGCCCUCAGGGUUAACCGGCGAGCGGUCCCUGCCUGUGGAUGCUGCUUACGCUCCCACAGGAUGGAGGAGCCCCUCUUGUUUCCGAUCUGUAUACCCGGAAACGGGUAAUUGAAAUGCAUCAGGAAUUAUCUAAAAUAGCUGUUAGCAGGCAGCAUACUCAAGAAUCAGAAAAGAAGAAGAAAAAAAGCCGGUUGGAAGGAGGAGCCAAGCCUUUUGUUUCAAGCCAGUUAACUCAAAAAAGGAAGAAAUAUUAAUCAGCAUGAGUGAACAAACGUUUAGGCACCUGAUCUUACAUUAAACAGAUUUUUUAUUAGCUACUGGUCUAAAAAUAUUUCUUGAAAUCACCAUUUUACAUCUUUAUUGUGAAUAAACUCCAUUUGAUUUUAUG